This 250-nucleotide long non-coding RNA is filed under the name Sorghum bicolor (sorghum). RNAcentral describes it as "long non-coding RNA (SBIC_LNC005102)". The record is from RNAcentral. Lineage: Eukaryota; Viridiplantae; Streptophyta; Magnoliopsida; Poales; Poaceae.
ACGCCAUCUCCAUUCACUGACGUACUACAGUAAUACGCCAUCACACCCCUAGGUUGUGACUGGGUCCUCCGGGCAACACAUUAUAGAUCUAGGUUGAAGUUCCAGACAUGGAAGACAGAUUUUUCUUGUGUUUUAUUGAUUCUGGAUGCAAGAUUUUCAGUCACCUUUCUAUGUAGAAACUCCAAAUCGUCAUCGUCUUGUUUUUGAAUGAGCUCUCAGCUUCUCAUCUCCGUCCACGCCGAUAUGUUCA